Long non-coding RNA from Mercurialis annua (annual mercury), 863 nucleotides. RefSeq lists it as uncharacterized. The record is from RefSeq and is a predicted model, not a curated record. NCBI's taxonomy places the organism in Eukaryota, Viridiplantae, Streptophyta, Magnoliopsida, Malpighiales, Euphorbiaceae. The transcript is spliced from 3 exons.
GUAUCUUGUAUGUUACACAUAUAUCGUGUGGGUAUUAGAUAUUGAUUCGAUUCAUUUUCGGGUAUUUAUUGAAGUUGUUUUCCCAUGUUUUCCAAAACUGCCAUGUGUUAGUAAAACGUUGAUAUCUCACAAUUGAACGGUCGGAUCGGGCUCAUCUUUGGAUAUAUUGUUCCUAAGAGGAUUUACUAAAAUCUGGUCGGUUGGAUUGUUAUUUGGAGGUUUCUAACUCUAAAACUACCUUUUAAACCGUGGGCUUUAAUUGCAGCCCAAGUAAAGCCCACAGGAGUCUAUAAAUAGACCCCUUAAGUUGCAAACCCUAGCCCCCAUUAAUCUCCAAACCCUAAAAACGAAUUUCUUCACUCAAAGAACUUGAUUUCUUCUUUCUAACAAGUCCGGAUGCGAUUCAUUCCGCUAAGAAUAUGAUUUUACAUCCUACUCGCAAGAUCUACGCGAUUUCUACGUUGUGUUCUUCGUUGGAGGCUUGUGGAUUAAAUUAAAUUCGGUCCAGCCCCUUGAACCUUGGGUUAAUACAUUAUUUAUCUUAUUGUUCAUCAUCCUUAGACACGUCGACUGCUCGUGCUUCGGAGUCGAAACAGGUUUAGUUGCUUGCCAGGUUUUUCACGUGGAUUUGCAAGCAGUUUAUGAUUUGAAAGCUGGUCCACUCCGAUUCUUUUGAUUCCUCGGAGGUUUUUAUGUUAUUUAAACUAGUUUCUGUUUUCAAACUCUUAGACCGCAGUAGAACUAGUUAUUUAUUUCAUUUGAUACUACACUUUGGGAUUGUCGAUAUAUUCGAUUAUUAUAUUUGGCAUGAUUACUCUGGAUUACGAUAUUGUUAUAUAUAAGGCAUGAUGUUGAACAUUUAA